RNAcentral lists this small RNA (671 nucleotides) under uncultured Meruliaceae. RNAcentral describes it as "eukaryotic LSU rRNA". The stretch from base 255 to 408 matches the Rfam family "5.8S ribosomal RNA". The record is from RNAcentral. Lineage: Eukaryota; Fungi; Basidiomycota; Agaricomycetes; Polyporales.
CGUAGGUGACCUGCGGAGGACAUUAUUGAAUAACUUGGUGUUGAUGCUGGCUCCUCUGGGGGCAUGUGCUCGCAUCAUAUUAUUUAUCUAUCUCUUGUGCACCUUUUGUAGUCUGCAGAGUUUAAGGGUCUGGUCGGAGUCAAGGCUUCGGUCCAUUUCAAAGGACUCCGCGCUUCGCAGGCUAUGUUUUUAUACACCUUUAAGAAUGUAUUAGAAUGUUUCAUUAUUGACUGAAAAGUCAGUAAACUCAAUACAACUUUCAGCAACGGAUCUCUUGGCUCUCCCAUCGAUGAAGAACGCAGCGAAAUGCGAUAAGUAAUGUGAAUUGCAGAAUUCAGUGAAUCAUCGAAUCUUUGAACGCACCUUGCGCCCUUUGGUAUUCCGAAGGGCAUGCCUGUUUGAGUGUCAUUAAAUUCUCAACCUUACCAGCUUUGUCUGUUGUAAGGCUUGGAUGUGAGGGCUUGCCGGCUUCCUUCAGUGGAUGGUCAGCUCCCUUUAAAUGCAUUAGUGGGAUCCUUUGUGGACGGUCACUUGGUGUGAUAAUUAUCUACGCCGCUUGAUUGUGAAGCAAAACUUAUGGGAACCCGCUCAUAACCGUCCUCUUGGACAAUACUCUGACGAUUUGACCUCAAAUCAGGUAGGACUACCCGCUGAACUUAAGCAUAUCAAUA